This 73-nucleotide transfer RNA is filed under the name Patiria miniata (bat star). RNAcentral describes it as "tRNA-Ser". It matches the Rfam family "tRNA". Rfam says of the family: Transfer RNA (tRNA) molecules are approximately 80 nucleotides in length. Their secondary structure includes four short double-helical elements and three loops (D, anti-codon, and T loops). Further hydrogen bonds mediate the characteristic L-shaped molecular structure. tRNAs have two regions of fundamental functional importance: the anti-codon, which is responsible for specific mRNA codon recognition, and the 3' end, to which the tRNAs corresponding amino acid is attached (by aminoacyl-tRNA synthetases). tRNAs cope with the degeneracy of the genetic code in two manners: having more than one tRNA (with a specific anti-codon) for a particular amino acid; and 'wobble' base-pairing, i.e. permitting non-standard base-pairing at the 3rd anti-codon position. The record is from Rfam by way of RNAcentral. Lineage: Eukaryota; Metazoa; Echinodermata; Asteroidea; Valvatida; Asterinidae.
GGCUGGAUAGCUCAGUUGAAAGAGCACUGGAACGGAAAUCUGGAGGUCGCAGGUUCAAACCCUGCUCCAGUCA